RNAcentral lists this ribosomal RNA (253 nucleotides) under uncultured bacterium. Its description in RNAcentral is "partial 16S ribosomal RNA". It matches the Rfam family "Bacterial small subunit ribosomal RNA", at positions 524 to 776 of the family's 1533-position model. The record is from RNAcentral.
UACGUAGGGACCAAGCGUUGUUCGGAUUUACUGGGCGUAAAGGGCGCGUAGGCGGCUCUGUAAGUCACUUGUGAAAUCUCUGAGCUUAACUCAGAACGGCCAAGUGAUACUGCAGUGCUAGAGUGUAGAAGGGGCAAUCGGAAUUCUUGGUGUAGCGGUGAAAUGCGUAGAGAUCGGGAGGAACAUCUGUGGCGAAGGCGGCCAUCUGGACCAGCACUGACACUGAGGCGCGAAAGCGUGGGGAGCAAACAGG